CCUACGGGUGGCAGCAGUGAGGAAUAUUGGUCAAUGGUCGGGAGACUGAACCAGCCAAGCCGCGUGAGGGAGGAAGGUACAGAGUAUCGUAAACCUCUUUUGUCGGGGAGCAAGGCCCGCCACGUGUGGCGGGAAGGAGAGUACCCGAAGAAAAAGCAUCGGCUAACUCCGUGCCAGCAGCCGCGGUAAUACGGAGGAUGCGAGCGUUAUCCGGAUUUAUUGGGUUUAAAGGGUGCGUAGGCGGAAGGUUAAGUCAGCGGUCAAAUGUCGGUGCUCAACACCGGCCUGCCGUUGAAACUGGUCUUCUUGAGUGAGCGAGAAGUAUGCGGAAUGCGUGGUGUAGCGGUGAAAUGCAUAGAUAUCACGCAGAACUCCGAUUGCGAAGGCAGCAUACCGGCGCUCAACUGACGCUGAGGCACGAAAGCGUGGGGAUCGAACAGGAUUAGAUACCCCUGUAGUC
Molecule: ribosomal RNA, 460 nt
Filed under: uncultured bacterium
Lineage: Bacteria
Description: partial 16S ribosomal RNA
Rfam family: Bacterial small subunit ribosomal RNA
Source: RNAcentral